RNAcentral lists this ribosomal RNA (321 nucleotides) under uncultured bacterium. Its description in RNAcentral is "bacterial SSU rRNA". It matches the Rfam family "Bacterial small subunit ribosomal RNA", at positions 29 to 341 of the family's 1533-position model. The record is from RNAcentral.
AACGAACGCUGGCGGCGCGCCUAAUACAUGCAAGUCGAACGAGAAGGUGUAGCAAUACACUUGUACAGUGGCGAACGGGUGAGGAAUGCAUGGGCAACCUACCCUCGAGUGGGGAAUAACCAGCCGAAAGGUUGGCUAAUACCGCGUACGCUUCCGGGUCUCCGGAUCCGGAAGGAAAGUCACACCGUGGGUGUGACGCUCAAGGAUGGGCUCAUGUCCUAUCAGCUUGNGGUGAGGUAACGGCUCACCAAGGCAACGACGGGUAGCUGGUCUGAGAGGACGAUCAGCCACACUGGCACUGCGACACGGGCCAGACUCCUA